CUAUGCGCCUUGCCAGCCCGCUCAGUCAGAGUUUGAUCCUGGCUCAGGACGAACGCUGGCGGCGUGCUUAACACAUGCAAGUCGAACGAAGAGCGACGGAAGCUUGCUUCUAUCAAUCUUAGUGGCGAACGGGUGAGUAACGCGUAAUCAACCUGCCCUUCAGAGGGGGACAACAGUUGGAAACGACUGCUAAUACCGCAUACGAUCUAAUCUCGGCAUCGAGGAUGGAUGAAAGGUGGCCUCUACAUGUAAGCUAUCACUGAAGGAGGGGAUUGCGUCUGAUUAGCUAGUUGGAGGGGUAACGGCCCACCAAGGCGAUGAUCAGUAGCCGGUCUGAGAGGAUGAACGGCCACAUUGGGACUGAGACACGGCCCAG
RNAcentral lists this ribosomal RNA (376 nucleotides) under uncultured bacterium. Its description in RNAcentral is "bacterial SSU rRNA". It matches the Rfam family "Bacterial small subunit ribosomal RNA", at positions 1 to 334 of the family's 1533-position model. The record is from RNAcentral.